Molecule: ribosomal RNA, 447 nt
Filed under: uncultured bacterium
Lineage: Bacteria
Description: partial 16S ribosomal RNA
Rfam family: Bacterial small subunit ribosomal RNA
Source: RNAcentral
AACGAACGCUGGCGGCAGGCCUAACACAUGCAAGUCGAACGAUCCUUCGGGAUAGUGGCGCACGGGUGAGUAACACGUGGGAAUGUAACUUUUAGUGGGGGAUAACAGUUGGAAACGACUGCUAAUACCGCAUACGUCCUUCGGGAGAAAGCUUUAUCGCUAAAAGAUCAGCCCGCGUCUGAUUAGCUAGUUGGUGAGGUAAUGGAUCACCAAGGCGACGAUCAGUAGCUGGUCUAAGAGGACGACCAGCCACACUGGAACUGAGACACGGUCCAGACUCCUACGGGAGGCAGCAGUGGGGAAUAUUGGACAAUGGGCGAAAGCCUGAUCCAGCCAUGCCGCGUGAGUGAUGAAGGCCUUCGGGUUGUAAAGCUCUUUAGCAGGGGAAGAUAGUGUCGGUACCCUGAGAAUAAGCCCCGGCUAACUCUGUGCCAGCCGCCGCCGUAA